Molecule: ribosomal RNA, 253 nt
Filed under: uncultured bacterium
Lineage: Bacteria
Description: partial 16S ribosomal RNA
Rfam family: Bacterial small subunit ribosomal RNA
Source: RNAcentral
UACGUAGGUGGCGAGCGUUGUCCGGAAUUACUGGGUGUAAAGCGCGUGUAGGCGGGAGGCCAAGUCUGCGGUGAAAUCGCUCGGCUCAACUGGGCGGGGUCCGUGGAAACUGGUCACCUGGAGGACGGUAGAGGCGAGUGGAAUUCCCGGUGUAGUGGUGAAAUGCGUAGAGAUCGGGAGGAACACCAGUGGCGAAGGCGACUACCUGGCCUGUUCUUGACGCUGAGGCGCGAAAGCUAGGGGAGCAAACGGG